AAGGAUUUAAGUUAAAACAAACUACCAGCCUUCAAAGUUGGAAAUAGGGGCUACUCUAGGCCUUA
RNAcentral lists this transfer RNA (65 nucleotides) under Platisus angusticollis. RNAcentral's name for it is "tRNA-Trp". The record is from RNAcentral. Lineage: Eukaryota; Metazoa; Arthropoda; Insecta; Coleoptera; Cucujidae.